UGUGCAGCUGUCGUUAACCGCUCGUUAACCUUUCGAAGGCAGUCUCGUUGCAAUACCGCUUUCUCCUUGACCACGGAUGAACUGGCACUGAGACGAGCGGAUGACGAAAAGGCCGGUUUGAACCGGCCUUUUUGUUG
Molecule: small RNA, 137 nt
Filed under: Rhizobium phaseoli
Lineage: Bacteria; Pseudomonadati; Pseudomonadota; Alphaproteobacteria; Hyphomicrobiales; Rhizobiaceae
Also listed under: 1 other name
Description: Alphaproteobacterial sRNA ar35
Rfam family: Alphaproteobacterial sRNA ar35
Source: Rfam by way of RNAcentral